AACGAACGCUGGCGGCAGGCUUAACACAUGCAAGUCGAACGGCAGCGCGGGGCAACCUGGCGGCGAGUGGCGAACGGGUGAGUAAUAUAUCGGAACAUACCCUAGAGUGGGGGAUAACGUAGCGAAAGUUACGCUAAUACCGCAUACGCACUAAGGUGGAAAGUGGGGGAUCUUCGGACCUCAUGCUCAUGGAGUGGCCGAUAUCUGAUUAGCUAGUUGGUGAGGUAAAGGCUCACCAAGGCGACGAUCCUUAGCUGGUCUGAGAGGAUGAUCAGCCACACUGGGACUGAGACACGGCCCAGACUCCUACGGGAGGCAGCAGUGGGGAAUAUUGGACAAUGGGCGAAAGCCUGAUCCAGCAAUGCCGCGUGAGUGAUGAAGGCCUUAGGGUUGUAAAGCUCUUUUACCCGGGAUGAUAAUGACAGUACCGGGAGAAUAAGCCCCGGCUAACUCCGUGCCAGCAGCCGCGGUAAU
This 474-nucleotide ribosomal RNA is filed under the name uncultured bacterium. RNAcentral describes it as "bacterial SSU rRNA". It matches the Rfam family "Bacterial small subunit ribosomal RNA", at positions 29 to 524 of the family's 1533-position model. The record is from RNAcentral.